Molecule: long non-coding RNA, 1664 nt
Filed under: Homo sapiens (human)
Lineage: Eukaryota; Metazoa; Chordata; Mammalia; Primates; Hominidae
Description: HSALNT0362972
Source: RNAcentral
CCGAGGAGUCGGAGGCCCGGGCUCUGCCACUACACACUGUGGUCCCCGGGGCCUAGGCUGGGCUGGGCACCAGGGGCUGCAGGAUUUUCUCUGGGGAUGUUCUCACACUGGCCUUGGCCCCUAGAGGAGGGAGGAGAGAAUGGAUCCCUCUCAUACAUCAAUUCAAGGACAACCGAUUUUUCUCUAAGAGGAAGACACCCACACGAAAACCGGAAGGCAGCCUUGAGUGUCGUGUGAUAAGUUUAUCGGCGCCAUCUCGCCAGCCACCCCCUCCCCAGGGUCUCGAUCAAUGGGACACAGUGCGCCUCCAGUCUGAGAGGCUUCCUUGGGUGGGUGGUGGGACUGCAAGGUGGCCCUUUGGCAGAGUCUACAAGAGCUAAAUUAGGUCGCCAAGUGGCCCAUUACCCACAUAAUCUAGCCCUACCUUCCAGAACAACUGAGAAAUGCCUCAGUGGGCAGAGCCUCAAGUCCACCAGAUAACAGGCCCCAACUUGACCUCUUGUCAUCAGAAAUCACUGCCAAGUUUCCAAGCCAGGGAAAGAGCAACAGUCGUGAGGCCUGUUCCACGCACCCACCUAUGAUCCUCUCGCUGGAGGCAGAGAUCACCAGCCUAGAACAGAGCUGAAGAAAGACAGAUACUCUGUGUUGGAAAUUGCAAAAGCUCUCUGCAAGAACAACUCCAUCCGAACCCUGCCCUACGACACUCAACCAAGCUCUAGCAAAGCUUCUGGCAGCCUCAGGCCACACCCCUGGGACAACCCACCGCCGCUUUGCACUCCUGUGUGGAAAAGCUCAGGGCUGCCAAAAGAAUUCACCAUUUGUUCCAGCCAACACGUAAUAUCCUCUCCCUGGCAGAUCGAUGAUCAAUUACAGUGGGACCUUCAAUCCAGAUGGGGCUGGAGGAUCCUUUCUCAUGGUGAUUGCUACACUGAUCACAGAGGCCACCAGACCAAGAGGACACAGAGCUGCCCAUCCAGACAAGAUAAAACAGAAGCUGCCACUGCUCCCACGAGAGCCGCCUCCCACCGGAGCCUCUCCCCUUCCUCAGUGCACUCUUCACUGAGGAUUUAUUUGCUGGUGCUGUGGGGAGCCCAGGUCAGAUGCCCUGGCAGGACAGACUAAAUUCCUUCUAAAUUGAGGAAAGUGCCUCCUGUUGUGGAAGAAAAGGAAUAAGACCUUGGCUGGGCCCAGUGGCUCACGUCUGUAAUCCCAGCACUUUGGGAGGCUGAGGCGGGCUGGUCACUUGAGGCCAGGAGUUCGAGACCAGCCUGGCCAACAUGAUGAAACCCUGUCUCUACCAGAAAUAUAAAAAUUAGCCCAGCGUGGUGAUGGGUGCCUGUAGUCCCAGCUAGUCAAGAGGCUGAGGCAGGAGAAUCACUUGAACCUGGGAGGUGGAGGUUGCAGUGAGCUGAGAUCGUGCCACUGCACUCCAGCUUUGGCAACAGAGUAAGACUCUGUCUCAAAAAUAAAACAAAAUAAAAUUUUUUUUGAAAAAGAAAAAGAAACAAGACCUUGACAUUUUGGACUGUUAAGUUUUCUCCAUAAGGCCCACCUAAGACACAGAUCACAUUAUAUAGCAAAAGUGGAAGGGGACAGGGCAGCAGACUUUCCCAAGGCCACGGAAGCUAGUCAGAAGCCACUGUCCCUCUCCCACUUCAAACAGC